Molecule: ribosomal RNA, 476 nt
Filed under: uncultured anaerobic ammonium-oxidizing bacterium
Lineage: Bacteria
Description: bacterial SSU rRNA
Rfam family: Bacterial small subunit ribosomal RNA
Source: RNAcentral
UUCGCAAUGCCCGAAAGGGUGACGAAGCGACGCCGCGUGUGGGAAGAAGGCCUUCGGGUUGUAAACCACUGUCGGGAGUUAGGAAGUGCAGGGGCGUUAAUAGCGUCUUUGCUUGACUAAGGCUCCGGAGGAAGCCACGGCUAACUCUGUGCCAGCAGCCGCGGUAAUACAGAGGCGGCAAGCGUUGUUCGGAAUUAUUGGGCGUAAAGAGCACGUAGGCGGCCGUGUAAGUCGGUUGUGAAAGCCUUCCGCUCAACGGGAGAACGGCAUCCGAUACUGCAUGGCUCGAGUGCGGGAGGGGAGAGUGGAACUUCUGGUGGAGCGGUGAAAUGCGUAGAUAUCAGAAGGAACGUCGGCGGCGAAAGCGACUCUCUGGCCUAUUACUGACACUGAGGUGCGAAAGUUAGGGGAGCAAACGGGAUUAGAUACCCCGGUAGUCCUAGCCGUAAACGAUGGGCACUAAGUAGAGGGGUUUU